GACGAACGCUGGCGGCGUGCUUAACACAUGCAAGUCGAACGGUGAAGCGCCUUCCUUUUUGGUGGGUGUGGAUGAGUGGCGAACGGGUGAGUAACACGUGAGUAACCUGCCCCCUUCUUCUGGAUAACCGCAUGAAAGUGUGGCUAAUACGGGAUAUUCUGGUUCUGUCGCAUGAUGGGUCUGGGAAAGAUAUUGUUUCGGUUGGGGAUGGGCUCGCGGCCUAUCAGCUUGUUGGUGGGGUGAUGGCCUACCAAGGCGGUGACGGGUAGCCGGCCUGAGAGGGUGGACGGUCACACUGGGACUGAGACACGGCCCAGACUCCUACGGGAGGCAGCAGUGGGGAAUAUUGCACAAUGGGCGCAAGCCUGAUGCAGCGACGCCGCGUGAGGGAUGGAGGCCUUCGGGUUGUGAACCUCUUUCGCCAGUGAAGCAGGCCUGCCUCGUUUGUGGGUGGGUUGACGGUAGCUGGAUAAGAAGCGCCGGCUAACUACGUG
Molecule: ribosomal RNA, 494 nt
Filed under: uncultured bacterium
Lineage: Bacteria
Description: partial 16S ribosomal RNA
Rfam family: Bacterial small subunit ribosomal RNA
Source: RNAcentral